This is a long non-coding RNA of Apis cerana (Asiatic honeybee), 651 nucleotides long. RefSeq lists it as uncharacterized. The record is from RefSeq and is a predicted model, not a curated record. NCBI's taxonomy places the organism in Eukaryota, Metazoa, Arthropoda, Insecta, Hymenoptera, Apidae.
AAAAAAAAGAAAGAGAGAAGGAAGGAGAAAAAGGAACGAAAAGGAGCGCAUCCAAGCGGGCCAAUUUCACUUGAUUUUUAUGGGCACACUCUUGGGCUGCACGCGUACCACGCGCGUGAUGAGUAAUAAUGUGGAGGAUAAGCAACUCGAUCCUCUCUCUGGAAUUCUAUUUUGGCGCCAGUUUGGAUCCGUGAUCGGACGAACGUCAACGUCGGACGUCGGGAGACCGUCUCGAAUCGGGCAACUUUCCAAAACCUAGUCUCAGCCGCUUUUCACCUCCAUCAACGUUCCAACCAUUUGGAGUUAUUCUGGCAAAGGAUUAUUAUCCUCAAGAUUUAAAUGUUGUAUGGAAUUCUUCUAUAAAGGACAAUCUGUGUGCUUAAUAUCACGAAAAAUACGAGUUUUUCGCGAAUCAUUUGUUCUUUCGUAUGAAAAAUUUCGUAUUAUUUUCAAUAUUCAUUUUUAGCUUUCUGGAUACGAGCCAAAUAUCUGGUAUAUAGAAGAAAUACCACUUAUUUGACGCAAAAUGGAAUACAAAAUCUUUCUUAUAUUUCUGAUUAAAUUGCAAAUCCCGUGAUAUUAUCACCAGUUAUGAAGAAGCUUUUAUAUAAAUUUAUAUGUAUAUAUUAUAUAAAGAGAGAAAUACGUAAG